ACAACGCCGUGAAGGAGGCGGCCGCGAUUGGGUUUCAGAGCGUUGAGAAGCUUAUCAGAUUGCUUUCUCAAUCGCAGCCGCAAAUUAGUGGGUUUUCGCCGCCGCUGC
Molecule: long non-coding RNA, 108 nt
Organism: Ipomoea nil (Japanese morning glory)
Lineage: Eukaryota; Viridiplantae; Streptophyta; Magnoliopsida; Solanales; Convolvulaceae
Exons: 4
Source: RefSeq, a predicted model, not a curated record